AGCCAGCAGCCGCGGUAAUACGGAUGGAGCAAGCGUUGUUCGGAAUCACUGGGCAUAAAGCGCAUGUAGGCGGCUCUGAAAGUAGGGUGUGAAAUCCCCUGGCCCACCCAGGGAACUGCAUUCUAAACUUCAGGGCUUGAGUGAAGAAGGGGAGAGAGGAACUCCUGGUGGAGCGGUAAAAUGCGUAGAUAUCAGGAGGAACGCCGGUGGAGAAGUCGUCUCUCUGGUCUUUUACUGACGCUGAGAUGCGAAAGCUAGGGGAGCAAACGGGAUUAGAUACCCCGGUAGUCCUAGCCGUAAACGAUGGGCACUAGGUAGGGGAAGUUCCGACACUUUCCCUGCCGAAGCAAAUGUGAUAAGUGCCCCGCCUGGGGAGUACGGUCGCAAGACUAAAACUCAAAGGAAUUGACGGGGGCCCGCACAAGC
This 426-nucleotide ribosomal RNA is filed under the name uncultured bacterium. Its description in RNAcentral is "bacterial SSU rRNA". It matches the Rfam family "Bacterial small subunit ribosomal RNA", at positions 506 to 930 of the family's 1533-position model. The record is from RNAcentral.